CCCUUGCUUCUCUAUAAAUAUUAAGCAAUCGAUCUCUAAUCAGAGGAACACAACAGAGAGAAACAAAUUAAGAAAAGAGAUUAGCAACGCUUUGGUAAUAACGAUCAUGGACCUGGACGGGAUCAUCUCAACGAAGCAGACUGUAAACUAUGAAUCGAAGAGGCGUGCCGUUGAUUCCAAUACUCCAGUAUCAUUCUCGAUACGGGUCCGAGAAGUUGAACUGCGUUUUGUGCGGGAUGGUAGCGUUCUUCGCGAAAAUCUGUUAAAACACAGAACCAUAGCUUCACCGGUUAUUGGAUUGGAGAUCCCACCUUGUUUUGCAGAGGUUAUGUUGUUAAGGCCUUGUCUAAGACAAUCAUACCCACCUGGAUUCAACCGUUCAUCCUUCCUCAAAUCUGCAAAGACGCCAUUACGGAGGAGGGCAAAAGAAGUGGUUUCAUGGUUGAAGCUCAAGUUGGAGCAGUCAAACAAACAUAUAUCAAUAAUUGUAUUGAUGUGAAUGAUUACAACUCUGAAGGUCGUAAAAUACCAACCGAACCAGAUUGUCCAAUCUGCCUACAAGAUUUUGGUCCUAGGAGUAUCAUCACCAAGUUGCGCUGCUGCGACUACAAUUUUCACAGGGAUUGUAUUCUCAUGUGGCUGGGCCGCAAGCCUUCAUGUCCUACUUGUCGUGAUGAUAUCCGCAACCCCCGACCAAAGAAAUUUACCCCAAAGAUAUUUUUAGGCCGAUAACACAUAUAUGGCCAUGAACUCAUAGAUUCAGGAGGAACAGUUGACUUGAAGAAGCAAACCUUCAGAAGUGUUUUGGUUCAUGUGAAGUUUCUUCAGUAGCACGAGCAGCUAAUGAAUUGGUGAAAACAAUCUUUGGAGAUCCUAUCAAAGAUCAGAUCCCUACUUUCAAGGCAUAAUGAUGAGCAGCCACUGAAUAUUACAGGACAACUUAUUCUCCGUGGCCAAAAUGGC
Long non-coding RNA from Brassica oleracea var. oleracea, 963 nucleotides. RefSeq lists it as uncharacterized. The transcript has 3 exons. The record is from RefSeq and is a predicted model, not a curated record. Lineage: Eukaryota; Viridiplantae; Streptophyta; Magnoliopsida; Brassicales; Brassicaceae.